AACGAACGCUGGCGGCAGGCUUAACACAUGCAAGUCGAACGCACCUUUCGGGGUGAGUGGCAGACGGGUGAGUAACGCGUGGGAAUCUACCCUUCUCUACGGGAUAGCUCCGGGAAACUGGAAUUAAUACCGUAUACGUCCUGAGGGAGAAAGAUUUAUCGGGGAAGGACGAGCCCGCGUUGGAUUAGCUAGUUGGUGGGGUACAGGCCUACCAAGGCGACGAUGCAUAGCUGGUCUAAGAGGAUGAUCCGCCACAUUGGGACUGAGACACGGCCCAAACUCCUACGGGAGGCAGCAGUAGGGAAUAUUGGACGAUGGGCGCAAGCCUGAUCCAGCCAUGCCGCGUAAGUGAUGAAGGCCCUAGGGUUGUAAAGCUCUUUCAGUGGAGACGAUAAUGACGGUACCCACAGAAGAAGCCCCGGCUAACUUCGUG
RNAcentral lists this ribosomal RNA (433 nucleotides) under uncultured bacterium. Its description in RNAcentral is "partial 16S ribosomal RNA". It matches the Rfam family "Bacterial small subunit ribosomal RNA", at positions 29 to 507 of the family's 1533-position model. The record is from RNAcentral.